This 644-nucleotide ribosomal RNA is filed under the name uncultured bacterium. RNAcentral's name for it is "bacterial SSU rRNA". It matches the Rfam family "Bacterial small subunit ribosomal RNA", at positions 202 to 849 of the family's 1533-position model. The record is from RNAcentral.
UAAAGGUAUUCCGGUAGACGAUGGGGAUGCGUUCCAUUAGAUAGUAGGCGGGGUAACGGCCCACCUAGUCUUCGAUGGAUAGGGGUUCUGAGAGGAAGGUCCCCCACAUUGGAACUGAGACACGGUCCAAACUCCUACGGGAGGCAGCAGUGAGGAAUAUUGGUCAAUGGGCGAGAGCCUGAACCAGCCAAGUAGCGUGAAGGAUGACUGCCCUAUGGGUUGUAAACUUCUUUUAUAAAGGAAUAAAGUCGGGUAUGGAUACCCGUUUGCAUGUACUUUAUGAAUAAGGAUCGGCUAACUCCGUGCCAGCAGCCGCGGUAAUACGGAGGAUCCGAGCGUUAUCCGGAUUUAUUGGGUUUAAAGGGAGCGUAGAUGGAUGUUUAAGUCAGUUGUGAAAGUUUGCGGCUCAACCGUAAAAUUGCAGUUGAUACUGGAUAUCUUGAGUGCAGUUGAGGCAGGCGGAAUUCGUGGUGUAGCGGUGAAAUGCUUAGAUAUCACGAAGAACUCCGAUUGCGAAGGCAGCCUGCUAAGCUGCAACUGACAUUGAGGCUCGAAAGUGUGGGUAUCAAACAGGAUUAGAUACCCUGGUAGUCCACACGGUAAACGAUGAAUACUCGCUGUUUGCGAUAUACUGCAAGCGGCCA